RNAcentral lists this ribosomal RNA (555 nucleotides) under uncultured bacterium. RNAcentral describes it as "partial 16S ribosomal RNA". It matches the Rfam family "Bacterial small subunit ribosomal RNA", at positions 355 to 900 of the family's 1533-position model. The record is from RNAcentral.
UGGGGAAUUUUCCACAAUGGACGCAAGUCUGAUGGAGCAACGCCGCGUGAGUGAAGAAGGUUUUCGGACCGUAAAGCUCUGUUGUUGGUGAAGAAGGAUAGAGGUAGUAACUGGCCUUUAUUUGACGGUAAUCAACCAGAAAGUCACGGCUAACUACGUGCCAGCAGCCGCGGUAAUACGUAGGUGGCAAGCGUUGUCCGGAUUUAUUGGGCGUAAAGCGAGCGCAGGCGGAAGAAUAAGUCUGAUGUGAAAGCCCUCGGCUUAACCGAGGAAUUGCAUCGGAAACUGUUUUUCUUGAGUGCAGGAGAGGAGAGUAGAACUCCAUGUGUAGCGGUGGAAUGCGUAGAUAUAUGGAAGAAUACCAGUGGCGAAGGCGGCUCUCUGGUCUGCAACUGACGCUGAGGCUCGAAAGCAUGGGUAGCGAACAGGAUUAGAUACCCUGGUAGUCCAUGCCGUAAACGAUGAGUGCUAAGUGUUGGGAGGCUUCCGCCUCUCAGUGCUGCAGCUAACGCAUUAAGCACUCCGCCUGGGGGAGUACGACCGCAAGGUUGAAAC